This 392-nucleotide unclassified non-coding RNA is filed under the name uncultured bacterium. RNAcentral's name for it is "contains 16S-23S intergenic spacer region". The record is from RNAcentral.
UCCGGUUUGGCACCGGCAGUCCCCCUAGAGUCCCCGGCUCGGGCUUGCGCCCUCUCCGCUGGUAACUAGGGGCGGGGGUUGCGCUCGUUGCGGGACUUAACCCAACAUCUCACGACACGAGCUGACGACAGCCAUGCAGCACCUGUGCGCGGACUCCGAAGAGGGGCCCCCGUCUCUGGGGGCUUUCCCGCGCAUGUCAAGCCCAGGUAAGGUUCUUCGCGUUGCAUCGAAUUAAGCCACAUGCUCCGCCGCUUGUGCGGGUCCCCGUCAAUUCCUUUGAGUUUUAGCCUUGCGGCCGUACUCCCCAGGCGGGGCACUUAAUGCGUUAGCUUCGGCACGGAGGGAGUCGACACCCCCCACACCUAGUGCCCAUCGUUUACAGCGUGGACUAC